This 1489-nucleotide long non-coding RNA is filed under the name Olea europaea subsp. europaea. The record is from RNAcentral. Lineage: Eukaryota; Viridiplantae; Streptophyta; Magnoliopsida; Lamiales; Oleaceae.
CCGUACACUCUAACGAUCUGUUCAAUUGUGCAUGACGAAAACUUACGUAGGCACUAUGGGAGCUGGGAUCUGUUAGCCACGUCACCUCUAAAAGUCAGGUCAACAAAAUAUGUGGUUAAAAAAAAUAAAAAGUUAAUAUCAUUUUAUGUAAGAAUGUGUAAUUGAAAAUAAGUUUUGAAAUAAUUUAUUUUGAAAUAAUGGAGUCGAAAUAAGGGCUAUAAAUCAUUCGAAGCUCUUUUUGGUUGUAAUUUUCACAUGCAAUAGACCUUUAUAAAGAGGGUGUUUGACACCAAUUUUUAUCGAAAAAUGAAUUUUAGAAUAAUAGAUUGAUGGAGAAUGUGCGGAUGAAAAAUAAUGAAAUUUUUUUGAUUUACGUAUAAUACUAUUUUAACGAAUAAUAUGUGAUUAAAAAGAAGAGAGAGAAAAAUGUAUUUUGAUAAAAAAAAAUGAGAAUCAAACGGGAAUAAAAUAUAUUUGAAACGUUCUAAUUUCGAGACUAGUUGUUCAACUAUGGAAUGACAAGAGCCUAAUUCUAGUUGAAAAUAUAAAGUCCACUAGCUACAUUAGCCUAACAAGGCCAAGUUAACAGGACCAAGUUUGGCACUAGUGGAGCAGUCUCUUAAAGCCCAUGGUUUAGUCCUAGAAAUUGUAGUCUUAUCAAAUCCAAGUCAUUAUCGAAUCCAUACCAGUAGAAUUUUUUUUUAUUGAUUGUCAUUAUCGAAUCCAUACUCUAGUCUCUAGGGAGUUGGACCCCAAUAUAUUUUGCUUUUCCAUAGAAUCGAGAUCGAGAUAUCCGCCUCUAAUGUACUUUAGUUGAAUGCUAGUACCAAUUAAACAAGUAAGAUUUAACUUAAGUCUCCCUUUAAGAAGAAGCCAUGAGUUCGAGACCAAUGAAAAAUAGCGUGUGAAUAUAUUUUUCCAAAACUAAACUCUUGCAAACACCUGAACUCUGAGUACAAGGUAAUUUGUUUUCUGGGGAACAACACGUUUGACUGAGUUAAAGAAUUACUUAUAAGUAAAUAUGUUAUUGUUAAUAAAGUAAAAAAAUUACUUUAAAAGUAAUAUUACUUUAGUCUUAAUAAAUAAUCCUUUUAUUGUUUAUAGGUAAGGAACUGAUCGAUGAGCAAAUUGACAUUUGACGGCUCAAACUUAAUUUGGUAUAGUAAAUCUUUUGACAAAAAUAUGAAAUUUUCUUAUUAUUAACUUAAGUUUAAAUUUAUUUUUUAAAUGUUCAGUUCAAUUCAAGUUGAAUAAUUUGCUAUGUUCUGUUUGAUUUUUAUAGAAAUCAGAUUUUUAUAGAAGGUGAUUGAAAUAUAUGGUUGAAAAAGUUGUAGGUCUCAUAGAAAAUGUUGUAAGUUUUUACGAGUUAAUAAAUUGUUACCUAAACCAAACAUGGGCUAAAAGCUUGUUUAUCGAAGAUUUUUUUUAAUUAUUUUUUAAAAUAUUUUUAUUUAUAUAUUUUAUGAUAUUUAUAACUUUUUUUUUUUCA